UUCCCUUUCCCAGGACACACGCCAUGGGAGUCCCAAGGCCCUGUGUGACAAGGCUGGCUGCAAAGUGUGGAUUGAGAGACACGUGGAGAAACAGAUGCCAAACAGGCUCCAGCUCCACCAGUCCCCGCAAGGAGCCUCCCAGCCCUGGUGCCAGGUCACCAGCCCCCACUGAUGUGCACCGAAGAGACACCGUCAGACUUUGAGAGUUCCUCUUAGAAUACCAAGAGUUAAUUUCCCAUCAUGAGGCUACUGUUUCUUCUGUUUCUCCUCCUUGUGUGUCUUAUCCAGAUGACAUCAGGAGAAUCUAUGCCUCCCAAAGGAAAACUAUGGACCUGGGGGAACAAGAACCAGAAGCGAGGUCUCCUAAUUCUGGACCCAGUAUGCCUUCCAUCACAGCACGGCGCUUUUAAAAGCCAUCACCUCUGAUGGAAAUUCUUCUUACUCAUAGCUUCCUGCUUGUCAUUCUCUUUCUUGUUCCCUUGACUUUAGGCAUCAUUCGAGUUCUCGCUACUCUCAAGUUGCUUCCUGAAUUGCUAUAGUCAACCAACUUGAUGGCCUAUCAUUUUUUUUGCAGCUUAACUCACAGGAGCCCGAGAAGGCAGGUGCUCACUGCAUGCCAUGGCGGUGCCGUUUAAAAUGUCACAGUGCACGAAAUGACUCUCAUUGCAUGGGAGAUGGGAGGCAGAAUAUUCAGCACUGAGGAUGCUCACUUUCUGUCCAAAGCUUUUUGUCUAUUUUGUGCUAUGUGCUUGUAAGAUUUUGCCCUUUUGAAAAAGAGGACAGCUCCUUAGGAAGCUUUCAUGAAGAACAUGUAGAGUAUAUCCCUAAUCUCAGAGCACAGCCAAGUCACUUUCUCUCCCUGAUCUGAAGUUCCUUCAUCUGAAAAAGAAAGACACUAUAGUGCAGAAGUCAAUAAGCGUUAUUUGGUAAAAGACCAUGUAAUAAAUAAAUCUUUUAGGCUUCUGGGCCAUGAGGUCUGUCAUGACAACUCAUCUCUGCCACGAAAAGCAACCAUAGACAAUAUCUAAAUGAACGGGUGUGAAUGUCUUCCUAUUUAUGGACACUAGAAUUUGAGUUUCAUAUAAUUUUCAUAUAUCGUGAAGUAUUUUUCUUCUUCUGAAGUUUUGUCUAC
This is a long non-coding RNA of Prionailurus viverrinus (fishing cat), 1132 nucleotides long. RefSeq lists it as uncharacterized. NCBI's taxonomy places the organism in Eukaryota, Metazoa, Chordata, Mammalia, Carnivora, Felidae. The transcript is spliced from 3 exons. The record is from RefSeq and is a predicted model, not a curated record.